RNAcentral lists this ribosomal RNA (2619 nucleotides) under Triticum aestivum (bread wheat). RNAcentral describes it as "partial small subunit ribosomal RNA". The record is from RNAcentral. Lineage: Eukaryota; Viridiplantae; Streptophyta; Magnoliopsida; Poales; Poaceae.
AUGCAAUUUCUAUCUGAAGAGGAAGCUUACUCCUUUUAUAACAAGUAUGCAAAAGCUAUCGGUUUUAGCAUCCGAAGAGGGAGUCAACAUAAAGUAAAGAAUUCUUCCGUCAUACAGCAACGGACAUUUACAUGCUCCCGUCAAGGAUUCCGAGCAGAAGAUAAGAGAGAGGAUUCGUUCAGUUACAGUAGGCCUGAAACACGAUGUGGUUGUGAAGGCCAUAUGAAGAUAAGUCUGAAAAGCGGAUUAUAUUAUGUCUACGAAUUUGAGGCUGCACACAACCAUAAUCUUGCCACUGGAGACAUGGCCUUAUAUUUAAGGUCCCAAAGGAAAGUGACGGAAGCACAAAUAGCAAACGCUGAGGUCGCAAAGUCUGUAGGCAUUUCGAAUAAAGCAACUAUUGAUCUUAUGGCCAAAGAAGCAUGUGGACUUCCAAAUCUUGGGUUUGCACCCGAGGAUAUGAAAAAUCGUUUGUACUCUAAGAGAACACUGCAAACAAAGAAAGGUGACACCGGGGGAGGGUUAGAAUACAUGGAGAAGAAGGUAAAAGAAGAUCCCAAUUUUUUCUAUUCAAUUCAAAUUGACAAGGAUGAUCUGAUAACUAAUAUAUUUUGGGCUGACUCAAAAAUGAUCUCAGACUAUGCAUUAUUUGGUGAUGUUAUAUGCUUUGACACCACAUAUAGGAAACUAGAUGAUGGGCGUCCAUUUGGUUUAAUUGUUGGGGUCAAUAAUCACAAGAAAACUACUGUCUUUGGUGCCACACUUCUCUAUGAUGAAACAGCUGAAAGUUUUGGUUGGCUUUUUAGAACAUUUCGAACAGCUAUGUCUGGGAAACAUCCAAGGACAAUCCUGACCGAUGAAGAUGCAGCAAUGGCCAAGGCAAUCAGUGUAGUCCUGCCUUGGUCUCAGCACAGACUUUGCGUGUGGCAUAUGAAUCAAAAUGCUUGCAAGCACCUUGCUGGGGUUGUUGAAGAAUAUAAGAAGUUCAAUGCUGAUUUUCAGCAUUGUAUAUAUGAUAUUGAGGAAGAAGACGAUUUUAUAAAUGAAUGGAAUAGAAUGCUGGACAGAUAUGGUCUACGUGACAAUACAUGGCUGCAAAGGCUGUUUGAGAAAAGGGAGCAAUGGGCACUAGUGUAUGGCAGAAAUACAUUCUCAGCCCACAUGAGCACUACCCAAAGAAGUGAAAGCAUGAAUAAUGAGCUGAAGCGGUACAUUAGUAUUAAAUAUGACAUGCUUACUUUCUUCGAGCAUUUUGAGCGGCUAGUUGCAGAUAAAAGAUUUGUAGAGGUGAAGUGUGACUUCAAGGCGUCACAAACUACUCCCAAGCUGAAGGCAGUAGAUAGCUAUGUAUUAAGGCAAGCUGCAACUACGUAUACUCCAGAAAUAUUCAAGAUGUUUGAGGAGCAAGUGCUUCGGACCCUCAACUAUGACACAUUUCUUUGUGAUGAUAGUGACAAAGAGCAGAAGGUUUAUACAGUAAAAUUUCAUGGCACACAACGUGAGCAUGUUGUCCGAUUUGACCCGAACAAAGAGAAAGUCAAUUGUAGUUGCAAGAAAUUUGAAUUUGCUGGAAUCCUCUGCUCUCAUUGCUUAAAGAUACUUGAUAUUAAUAAUAUCAAGUAUGUAUUGAAUAGAUGGACAAUUGAUGCCAAAGUGCUAGAGAUAACAAGCAAUCGCAAUCUGCAAGAGGAUUUAAAAGCAAGAAUGUCUAACUUCUACAAAGACUUGUGCAGAAUGUUUAUCCACAUAGCUGCUCGUGCCGCAGAGUCCGAUGAAACAUAUGACAUGGCUGCUAAAUGCGCAGAGCAGCUAGCACGAGAUGUGGAGAAAUGCUUGAAAAAUAGAACUGAUCCAGAUCCAAACCCAGAUGUGGGUAAUUCCUCUGUUUCAGAAGGUCCGAACAUCGACUCUAGUAGAGUUUCAAAACAUAACGAGGGGCUAUGCAGGCCAAGAGGUAUGAAGGUCAAGGAGAAGACCGUACGAGGAUCAGCAAGACCCGUUGGUGCCUUGGAGAAAGCAAAAACAAAUAAGAAAAAGAAGACAGAUGAUUCUUUACAACUACAACCUGAAAUGCCUUUCACAAUUCAAAUGCCUAUGUAUAACCCAAUCUUAUUGGGUCAUUUGGGAGAAAAUAUUGGACCAGGAUCAGCAAGACCCGUUGGUGAGUUGGAGAAAGCAAAAAAAAAGAAGAAAAAGAAGACCGCCGAUUCUUUACAACUACAACCUGGAAUGCCUUUGACAAACCAAAUGCCGGGGUAUCUACCACAGUACAACCCAACCCAAAUGGGUCAUCUGGGAGCUCUGCCAAAUCAUCUAUACCCCUAUUUGGCACAAUAUGGUCCUACCAGUGGUACCUCUACCCCUACGAUGUUGCCAGGACAGAAUCCAUUCUUCCAACUACAGAAUCCUACUAGUGGUACCUUUAACCCUACGAUGAUGCCAGCACAAAAUCUAUCAUUAUUCCAACAACAGACUCCUACCAGUGGUACCUCUACCCCUACGAUGAUGCUAGGACAGAAUCUAUCAUCCUUCCAAGAAAAUAAUCUCACCAUCGGUGCCUUUACCCCUACGAUGAUGCUAGGACAAGAUCUACCAUUCUUCCAACAGAAGCCUGCUUAA